UGGGGAAUAUUGCACAAUGGGCGCAAGCCUGAUGCAGCAACGCCGCGUGAGGGACGACGGCCUUCGGGUUGUAAACCUCUUUUAGUAGGGAAGAAGCGAAAGUGACGGUACCUGCAGAAAAAGCACCGGCUAACUACGUGCCAGCAGCCGCGGUAAUACGUAGGGUGCGAGCGUUGUCCGGAAUUAUUGGGCGUAAAGAGCUCGUAGGCGGUCUGUCGCGUCUGCUGUGAAAACCCGAGGCUCAACCUCGGGCCUGCAGUGGGUACGGGCAGACUAGAGUGCGGUAGGGGAGAAUGGAAUUCCUGGUGUAGCGGUGGAAUGCGCAGAUAUCAGGAGGAACACCGAUGGCGAAGGCAGUUCUCUGGGCCGUAACUGACGCUGAGGAGCGAAAGCGUGGGGAGCGAACAGGAUUAGAUACCCUGGUAGUCCACGCCGUAAACGUUGGGCGCUAGAUGUGGGGACCAUUCCACGGUUUCCGUGUCGCAGCUAACGCAUUAAGCGCCCGCCUGGGGAGUACGGCCGCAAGGCUAGAACUCAAAUGAA
Molecule: ribosomal RNA, 543 nt
Filed under: uncultured bacterium
Lineage: Bacteria
Description: partial 16S ribosomal RNA
Rfam family: Bacterial small subunit ribosomal RNA
Source: RNAcentral